UACAGAGGGUGCGAGCGUUAAUCGGAUUUACUGGGCGUAAAGGGCGCGUAGGCGGUUAAUUAAGUGAGAUGUGAAAGCCCCAGGCUUAACCUGGGAAGUGCAUUUCAAACUGAUUAACUGGAGUACGAGAGAGGGUGGUGGAAUUUCCGGUGUAGCGGUGAAAUGCGUAGAGAUCGGAAAGAACGUCAAUGGCGAAGGCAGCCACCUGGCUCGAUACUGACGCUGAGGCGCGAAAGCGUGGGUAGCGAACAGGAUUAGAUACCCUGGUAGUCCACGCUGUAAACGAUGAUAACUAGAUGUGUGUAGGGGAACCUAUGCGUAUCGAAGCUAACGCGAUAAGUUAUCCGCCUGGGAAGUACGGCCGCAAGGUUGAA
RNAcentral lists this ribosomal RNA (374 nucleotides) under uncultured bacterium. Its description in RNAcentral is "bacterial SSU rRNA". It matches the Rfam family "Bacterial small subunit ribosomal RNA", at positions 524 to 898 of the family's 1533-position model. The record is from RNAcentral.